Paramuricea clavata is the source of this 337-nucleotide non-coding RNA. The record is from the annotation of a GenBank genome assembly. NCBI's taxonomy places the organism in Eukaryota, Metazoa, Cnidaria, Anthozoa, Malacalcyonacea, Plexauridae.
CUUUUCGCACGAAAAUUUUGGCGCGAGUUCUCGUGUGUAAUAAAAAUCCUUCUGAAUAUUUCAACGAUCGCAACUAUAUUUUAUUAUUUUGUGAGCAUCCCAUCUUGUUUUCAUGGAACGUGGCGGAGAGAAAAGGAAGCUAGAUUAUCCAAAUUCAAAUAACAAACGCACGAAGUCUGAAGAAACGAAACCGAGUGGGUUUGAACAAGAAUUAGCAAAAUUUGGUCCUGCAGAAAGUCGCGCGUUAAAGUGGGGUAGACCUCCACUACCUUCCCUGGACGCCUCAAAAGAUGCCUUGGUCUUUCAACAACUUGACUUAGACCAUUAUAUUGGUAAG